This 446-nucleotide ribosomal RNA is filed under the name uncultured bacterium. RNAcentral describes it as "partial 16S ribosomal RNA". It matches the Rfam family "Bacterial small subunit ribosomal RNA", at positions 338 to 795 of the family's 1533-position model. The record is from RNAcentral.
CCUACGGGUGGCAGCAGUCGAGAAUCAUGCACAAUGGGGGAAACCCUGAUGGUGCGACGCCGCGUGGGGGAAUGAAGUUCUUCGGAUUGUAAACCCCUGUCAUGUGGGAGCAAAUUAAAAAGAUAGUACCACAAGAGGAAGAGUCGACUAACUCUGUGCCAGCAGCCGCGGUAAUACAGCGGUCUCAAGCGUUGUUCGGAAUCACUGGGCGUAAAGCGUGCGUAGGCUGUUUCGUAAGUCGUGUGUGAAAGGCGCGGGCUCAACCCGCGGACGGCACAUGAUACUGCGAGACUAGAGUAAUGGAGGGGGAAGCGGAAUUCUCGGUGUAGCAGUGAAAUGCGUAGAUAUCGAGAGGAACACUCGUGGCGAAGGCGGGUUCCUGGACAUUAACUGACGCUGAGGCACGAAGGCCAGGGGAGCGAAAAGGAUUAGAUACCCUUGUAGUC